RNAcentral lists this ribosomal RNA (486 nucleotides) under uncultured bacterium. RNAcentral describes it as "partial 16S ribosomal RNA". It matches the Rfam family "Bacterial small subunit ribosomal RNA", at positions 30 to 507 of the family's 1533-position model. The record is from RNAcentral.
AUUGAACGCUGGCGGCAUGCCUUACACAUGCAAGUCGAACGGCAGCACGGGUGCUUGCACCUGGUGGCGAGUGGCGAACGGGUGAGUAAUACAUCGGAACAUGUCCUGUAGUGGGGGAUAGCCCGUCGAAAGCCGGAUUAAUACCGCAUACGAUCUACGGAUGAAAGCGGGGGACCUUCGGGCCUCGCGCUAUAGGGUUGGCCGAUGGCUGAUUAGCUAGUUGGUGGGGUAAAGGCCUACCAAGGCGACGAUCAGUAGCUGGUCUGAGAGGACGACCAGCCACACUGGGACUGAGACACGGCCCAGACUCCUACGGGAGGCAGCAGUGGGGAAUUUUGGACAAUGGGCGAAAGCCUGAUCCAGCAAUGCCGCGUGUGUGAAGAAGGCCUUCGGGUUGUAAAGCACUUUUGUCCGGAAAGAAAUCCUUGGCUCUAAUACAGUCGGGGGAUGACGGUACCGGAAGAAUAAGCACCGGCUAACUACGUG